Molecule: unclassified non-coding RNA, 21 nt
Filed under: Chlamydomonas reinhardtii
Lineage: Eukaryota; Viridiplantae; Chlorophyta; Chlorophyceae; Chlamydomonadales; Chlamydomonadaceae
Description: small RNA Cre_1638
Source: RNAcentral
GAUGGCGGCGGCAGUGGCGGA